This 834-nucleotide ribosomal RNA is filed under the name uncultured bacterium. Its description in RNAcentral is "bacterial SSU rRNA". It matches the Rfam family "Bacterial small subunit ribosomal RNA", at positions 51 to 878 of the family's 1533-position model. The record is from RNAcentral.
ACACAUGCAGGUCGAGGGGCAGCAUCAUUAAAGCUUGCUUUGAUGGAUGGCGACCGGCGCACGGGUGAGUAACACGUAUCCAACCUGCCGACAACACUGGGAUAGCCUUUCGAAAGAAAGAUUAAUACCGGAUGGCAUAGUCUUCCCGCAUGGGAUGACUAUUAAAGAAUUUCGGUUGUCGAUGGGGAUGCGUUCCAUUAGGCAGUUGGCGGGGUAACGGCCCACCAAACCAACGAUGGAUAGGGGUUCUGAGAGGAAGGUCCCCCACAUUGGAACUGAGACACGGUCCAAACUCCUACGGGAGGCAGCAGUGAGGAAUAUUGGUCAAUGGACGAGAGUCUGAACCAGCCAAGUAGCGUGAAGGAUGACUGCCCUAUGGGUUGUAAACUUCUUUUAUACGGGAAUAAAGUGAGCCACGUGUGGCUUUUUGUAUGUACCGUAUGAAUAAGGAUCGGCUAACUCCGUGCCAGCAGCCGCGGUAAUACGGAGGAUCCGAGCGUUAUCCGGAUUUAUUGGGUUUAAAGGGAGCGUAGGCGGGUUGUUAAGUCAGUUGUGAAAGUUUGCGGCUCAACCGUAAAAUUGCAGUUGAUACUGGCGACCUUGAGUGCAACAGAGGUAGGCGGAAUUCGUGGUGUAGCGGUGAAAUGCUUAGAUAUCACGAAGAACUCCGAUUGCGAAGGCAGCUUACUGGAUUGUAACUGACGCUGAUGCUCGAAAGUGUGGGUAUCAAACAGGAUUAGAUACCCUGGUAGUCCACACAGUAAACGAUGAAUACUCGCUGUUGGCGAUAUACGGUCAGCGGCCAAGCGAAAGCAUUAAGUAUUCCACCUGGGG